RNAcentral lists this ribosomal RNA (440 nucleotides) under uncultured bacterium. RNAcentral's name for it is "partial 16S ribosomal RNA". It matches the Rfam family "Bacterial small subunit ribosomal RNA", at positions 338 to 795 of the family's 1533-position model. The record is from RNAcentral.
CCUACGGGAGGCAGCAGUAGGGGAUAUUGCACAAUGGGGGGAACCCUGAUGCAGCGACGCCGCGUGGGUGAAGAAGCGCCUCGGCGCGUAAAGCCCUGUCAGCAGGGAAGAAAAUGACGGUACCUGACGAAUAAGCACCGGCUAACUCCGUGCCAGCAGCCGCGGUAAUACGUAGGGGGCAAGCGUUAUCCGGAUUUACUGGGUGUAAAGGGGGCGCAGACGGGGAUACAAGUCAGGAGUGAAAGCCCGGGGCCCAACCCCGGGAGUGCUGUUGGAACUGCGUGGCUGGAGUGGAGGAGGGGCAGGCGGAAUUCGUGGUGUAGCGGUGAAAUGCGUAGAUAUCAGGAGGAACACCGGUGGCGAAGGCAGCCUACUGGAGUGCAACUGACGUUGAGGCCCGAAAGCGUGGGUAGCGAACAGGAUUAGAUACCCUUGUAGUC